AUUAUUUUAGUUUAAAAAAAACUUUACAUUUUCAGUGUAAAAAUAAGUAACUUUAUAUAAUU
This 62-nucleotide transfer RNA is filed under the name Orchesella villosa. RNAcentral describes it as "tRNA-Glu". The record is from RNAcentral. Lineage: Eukaryota; Metazoa; Arthropoda; Collembola; Entomobryomorpha; Orchesellidae.